This 464-nucleotide ribosomal RNA is filed under the name uncultured bacterium. RNAcentral describes it as "partial 16S ribosomal RNA". It matches the Rfam family "Bacterial small subunit ribosomal RNA", at positions 339 to 795 of the family's 1533-position model. The record is from RNAcentral.
CUACGGGGUGCUCCAGUGAGGAAUUUUGCGCAAUGGGGGAAACCCUGACGCAGCAACGCCGCGUGAGCGAAGAAGGCCCUCGGGUCGUAAAGCUCUGUCAAGUGGGAAAAAAAUUUUUUGAUCAAUAGCCAAAAGACUUGAUGGUACCACUGGAGGAAGCACCGGCUAACUCCGUGCCAGCAGCCGCGGUAAUACGGAGGGUGCAAGCGUUGUUCGGAUUUACUGGGCGUAAAGAGCGUGUAGGCGGUUUAGCAAGUCAGAUGUGAAAGCCCUGGGCUCAACCCGGGAAGUGCAUUUGAAACUGCUUCACUAGAGUAUGGGAGAGGAGAUUGGAAUUCCUGGUGUAGAGGUGAAAUUCGUAGAUAUCAGGAGGAACACCCGUGGCGAAGGCGAUUCUCUGGACCAAUACUGACGCUGAGACGCGAAAGCGUGGGGAGCAAACAGGAUUAGAUACCCGCGUAGUC